AUUCUCGUAGCCCAGCUGGUAGAACGUGCGCGUCCAAAGCGUAGGCGGUGUCCAUGCGUGGGUUCGAAUCCCACCGAGGCUA
RNAcentral lists this transfer RNA (82 nucleotides) under Echinostoma caproni. It matches the Rfam family "tRNA". From Rfam's summary of the family: Transfer RNA (tRNA) molecules are approximately 80 nucleotides in length. Lineage: Eukaryota; Metazoa; Platyhelminthes; Trematoda; Plagiorchiida; Echinostomatidae. The record is from Rfam by way of RNAcentral.